UAGGCAGAAGCCCGUUGGUUUGGGCAUAUGGCUGUUAACCAUAUAUUUCGUGGGAUCGAGGCCCAUCUGUCUAG
This 74-nucleotide transfer RNA is filed under the name Zoothera aurea (White's thrush). RNAcentral describes it as "tRNA-Asn". Lineage: Eukaryota; Metazoa; Chordata; Aves; Passeriformes; Turdidae. The record is from RNAcentral.